Molecule: ribosomal RNA, 462 nt
Filed under: Phytophthora infestans T30-4
Lineage: Eukaryota; Oomycota; Peronosporomycetes; Peronosporales; Peronosporaceae
Description: 28S ribosomal RNA
Rfam family: Eukaryotic large subunit ribosomal RNA (bases 115-462)
Source: RNAcentral
CUCUUUAGCUUGGCAUUUGAAUCGGCUUUGCUGUUGCGAAGUAGAGUGGCGGCUUCGGCUGCCGAGGGUCGAUCCAUUUGGGAAAUGUUGUGUACUUCGGUAUGCAUCUCAAUUGGACCUGAUAUCAGGCAAGAUUACCCGCUGAACUUAAGCAUAUUAAUAAGCGGAGGAAAAGAAACUAACAAGGAUUCCCCUAGUAACGGCGAGUGAAGCGGGAAGAGCUCAAGCUUAAAAUCUCCGUGCAAGUUUUGCGCGGCGAAUUGUAGUCUAUAGAGGCGUGAUCAGUGUGGGCGCUUGGGGCAAGUUCCUUGGAAGAGGACAGCAUGGAGGGUGAUACUCCCGUUCAUCCCUGAGUUGCUCGAGCGUACGAUCCGUUUUCUUUGAGUCGCGUUGUUUGGGAAUGCAGCGCAAAGUAGGUGGUAAAUUCCAUCUAAAGCUAAAUAUUGGUGCGAGACCGAUAGC